This 254-nucleotide ribosomal RNA is filed under the name uncultured bacterium. Its description in RNAcentral is "partial 16S ribosomal RNA". It matches the Rfam family "Bacterial small subunit ribosomal RNA", at positions 524 to 776 of the family's 1533-position model. The record is from RNAcentral.
UACGUAGGGGCCUAGCGUUGUCCGGAUUUAUUGGGCGUAAAGAGCUCGUAGGCGGUUCGGUAAGUCAGGUGUGAAAUCUCCACGCUCAACGUGGAGGGGCCACCUGAUACUGCCGUGACUCGAGUCCGGUAGGGGAGUGUGGAAUUCCCGGUGUGGCGGUGAAAUGCGCAGAUAUCGGGAGGAACACCAGUAGCGAAGGCGGCACUCUGGGCCGGAACUGACGCUGAGGAGCGAAAGCGUGGGUAGCAAACAGG